CUCGUAACCUUUGACGAUGGGAUUAACGGGAAAUCAUUAUUCUUAAGGUAAGCUGGUAGCUCCAACGUCUUACGUAGAGCAGUCGUUUCGUUCGCGAGGUAGAAAACGAACGGGAAGAAGAAAUCGGAAAAGGCGAAUAGCAGUGUUCCUAAUUUAUCAAACGAAAACAACUGACUGAUCGCGUGACAAUUAAACACUUCUCGUAAUAAAAAGGGUCUACAUGCUUCCGCUUGGGAAUUCACCGUUUUCGUUCUUAGGAAACGUAACAGUGACAGGUACUGCAUUUUUUACCCGAUACAAAUGAUUGAGCAAUUCCGAUGCGUGAUCGAAUCCAGUGGGAAAUUCGUAAUGCAGACUAGAACAGAACAGAGUGAAGCAUUGUGCGAACCUGGCGCGCCAUGUCGAAGAUCUCAAGGUACAGAUAGAAAAUGAGUUGGCGCAAAUUGUUGCCGAUCAAAGAUGCCGGCCGUUCUACGACGCUCUCGCCAUAAAGACGCCUGUGUAUGUACACAAACAUGUUUCCCGAUUGAGUAUCCAUGUAGUGUGUAAUAUCCGUAGAAUUAAUCUGGCGUAUAACGGGUGCGCAGAUUUCACCGAAUCAAAAUGGGAUGGAUGGUACCAAGGUAACAAAUAUUCGCAAAUGCUCCUGAGGGAUGCUGAUAACGAAUAAUUUUUUUUUGGAAAUUUUGGAAUUAUAAAAUUUUUAAUACCUUUCAAGAAACGAUCUUUCAAUUUCAGUCGAUGCUUGUAAAUCCACCUUUAUAUUCUCAUAUAUAUAUAUAUUCUCGGUAUAUAUAUACCGCCCUGCCUCAAGAUUUUUCACAGUUUACAGACAAUGCAGAUACGAACGCGCAUCGUGCUAAUAAGCGUGGAAAAAAUUGAAUCAAGCGCGAAGGUUAUCACCUCCACCGAUAUUAGAUAUCGAUGCACGUCCCCGAUAUUUAAUUUUUAUUUUUCUUCCUGGAACAAGGUAAAAUCGUGACGGGUAUAACAGCUAAUGCAAAAAUCAUCCCAUGCGCUCAGCAACCAGCACAGAAAAUUAUUUGACUGGAGCGUCACGCUCUGGUCUACUCCGGACUCGUCUUGUUCUGCGUCCCAUGUUAAUCUUCAAUCUUCCUCACUCCCAUACACAACAGGUCGAUCCUUCGACUAAUCCUUCCGAUCCACCGUUUCUUUCCGCUCAUCCUUCAUUCCCUUUUGUUUCGCUUGAUCCACAGUCGCGGCUCGCCGAUUAUUCCCUGGAACGAACCUACGUUCCUUAAUGCGUUCCAUGAUAACUUCCUGGUAUAUAUGAGUUCUCAAUUCGCACUGCAAACAGCCGGAUAGCAGCCAGUUUUACUUUUGAAUCUGAAGUCGUUGCUCCGAUUGAUAAAGUAUAUAAAAGAAAAGUAGAAGAAGAAGACAAAUGGAGGACUCCUGCGGAACGAAACUCUACCGAAUGCUGCAGGUUGGUACUGGACGUGGAAGCAAGGCAGACCAAGCACCACCACCAUCAUCGAGGCUGUUCGUGCCCAUGCCACGGCGGUGCCCUGCAGGACGUGCCCCAGAUCCGGGUCUAGGUCGCCGAUCAUCUUACCUAAGAAAAAUUGCGCACGCCUCGCAGAACCUAAAGGAUAAAUACCGGGUGCGCCGAUCCGAAAGUAUCUCCACCGAAGUAAAAUAUGCAUCGGACCAGCGUUAUGUAGGGUUAUGUUAUUUUUUUUCAUAGUUCUCUAUAGCAGUACUUUUAUUGAUCUUUUUUUUUCUUGCUGAUUAGAAAAGUUCUAAACGAGCCAUUAAGAAUUUUAUUGUUCUUGAAAUCAUGUUUAACCUACUUUUUCUUUACUUCUUCCUUUCAAGGAAGCGAUUGUGUCAAUACACUUGCUCGUAUCGUUUCCUUUCUUUUUUACCUAUAUUUCCUAAGCUGUGUCCAAUCACUGUACAAACUUCACGAAUGAGCGUUACUGUCGUUGGAGCUGUGAGUGAGUCUUUUCAUUUUUGAUAGUCCUACGUUCACUCCGUGUAGGAGAAUGGGUGCUGAUUUAACAUGGUAACUUGAUAUUGCCAAUGUUAAAGCAGGCGCCAACU
Cephus cinctus (wheat stem sawfly) is the source of this 2067-nucleotide long non-coding RNA. RefSeq lists it as uncharacterized. NCBI's taxonomy places the organism in Eukaryota, Metazoa, Arthropoda, Insecta, Hymenoptera, Cephidae. The transcript has 5 exons. The record is from RefSeq and is a predicted model, not a curated record.